AUGUUAAAGCACAUUUCCCCAUUGAAGUGCAUUGUAAUCAGACCUCUGUCACAGAACAAAUUAAACCCAUUUGCCAUGGCCCCAUGGGGUUUCAAGGGCUUCAGCCAGCCUUUCCUCCCUCCCUUUCUCUCCCUGAGCAGCUGUCUCUCCGACUCCAUACCACAGUCCAUGCCUGCCUGCCUGCCUGCCUGCCUGCCUGCCUGCCUGCCUGCCUGCCUGCCUGCCUGCCUGCCUGCCUGCCUUCCUUCCUUCCUUCCUUCCUUCCUUCCUUCCUUCCUUCCUUCCUUCCUCCCUCCCUCCCUCCCUCCCUCCCUCCAUGAGUGGCUCCCUCUGUCUCCCUGCCACCAUUUGCACCAAGGCACCUCCCUUCUUUCUGUGAGCAUGGCCUGCUUAAGUUCAGGGUAGCUGCCAAAGCUCCCUCCCUCCCUCUCUGUAAGCUUGGCCUGAAUCAGUCUCCCAGCGCAGCUGCCAUUUUGGAAAGGGGAAGGCACAUAACGCGGAUCUGGCUCACAUGUCAAAUAAAAAAAUCAGAUGUGCGAUGGCUCACAUUCAAAAAGCUCACAACUUGGGAUACUCAUAAGUUGAGGUUCCACUGUGCAUAGCCUUCAAGAGGGGACAGGGGAAAAGACAGGGAAAGAAAUGGAGGCUACCAGCAUCCAGUACCUCAUCUGAUUUAGAAGCUAAGCAGGAUAGGUAAGUACUUAGUCUGAAAAAGAAAGAAGACUAAGAAAGACUAGGAAAAAAAUUCCAACUCAAAAUCCUGGAAACUGCCCAAUGGUCUGAUUCAGAAUGACAGAACUUUCUGUUUACUAAACAAUAGCUAUAUUACAUCACCGAUUUGAUCUCUACAGAAAAUGCUCCAAGGGAAUAGUGUGGAGUCUUAUGAUAUUGCAAAUAAUUCAUUUCAGAACAUAACUGAACUAACUUUGUCUACAUAGUAAACACAAGAUUUUUGCAAAUGUUGGUUUUGUUACUAGCAUGAAGCUAGAUUUUUUUUUUGAAAUACAAAUGCCUAAUUCCUAAUGUACGCCCUUUACAACGGAAUUGGGCAAAUUUGGUUCAGUUGGUUUUAGCUUAAAACCCUGGCAGCCUUGGCCAGCAAAGCCUAUGGUAAAAAUUAAGGGAGUUGUAGUCGGAAAUGUCUGAAGAACCACAUUUGUCUAGUUUCAAAUAUAUGUGUUUAGGGUACAUAAGUACCAACUAUGUCAGAAUCAGAGCAAAUGUCAUACUGUAGGACAAUGGCAACCAAAAUAAUAGCAUCUAGCAUCAGGGCUCCCUAAAAUUUUGCCUUAAUCACUGAAUAAAGCAGCUUCUAUCUGCUAAUGAUUCCAUCAGCCAAGGACAAAAGGAGAAAGACUACAUCCUCCGCAGAUACAGAGAAAUGUUCGAGCAGAUGGAGGGGAAAACAAAACUAUGUAAGAAAAAUGUGGAAAUGAAGCUUGCUAAAUUUCAGUAUUAUAUUUAUGAGAGUAAAGAAAUUAUUCUGGAGAUAGAAGAGUGUCAGUCCAUACUAAGGACAAAUUUUCACACAGGCAGCAAAUUACAGUAGUUUUAACAGAUUUAAGAAUAAUGUUUUUAUCAUGAUAAGGUAAGGGAUAAACAUGCAUAUAGAGCUUGCCUUUCCAAUGACACACAUUAUAUUAUAUCUAAUAAAUAAUAAAAGACUCACUCUAAAAAGGAUUUAUGUGUACCAUUACAUGCUUUAGCUGUUUAUCAUUCACUAGAUGAAGAACUUGUGUCUCAUGGUGAACAGAAAAGGGUUGGAGGAUUGGAUGCAAGAUUGAUGGAAAAUUAAAUGUAAUUUUCCCCAGUCUGACCAAUGGAUAUUGAAAGUAUAAAUUGCAACAUAGAUAAAAAUAAUGAAAAGAAAACCUAUCUAGUAUAAAAAAGAGACAUUCACAAUACUGAAACAGCAUGCAGGACACAGAUACAAAACUCAAGCACGCAGCAAAAACAAAACAUGGUCCCUAAAAGACCAGAAGUCUGCCAAUUUCUGUGUUUCAUUCUUAACUGCAAGACAACAGAAUUUACAAUUUACAGGUUCAAUAGGUUAUCCAGCCACUUAUGCAUAUUUAUAACUGUGAUUGUAUAAUCACAAUCCUUGUAACAGCCAAGAACAGAAUAUUACAGAACCAUGCUGUCCCAAAUACUAUCCAGUGGGAACAGGACUUGCUAAAGAUUCAUACAAAAUAAUAUUCUAUAGAAAAUAUGGAAAGAAGGUCACAUUCAAAAGAUUUAGCAAAGUUCUUCAGACUUAGAAAUGAGAUAAGAUGAAUGUGACUGUUCUCUCAUUCUAACCAUGUGGGCACCUGGAAGGAUGCUAGAACUAUGUGAUGCUUGUAUUAGAAAUAUCCCAGAAAUUCAGUAUUCUUGUUUCCUUCCCUUUAAUUCUUUAUUCACCUUCUUGUUUCCUUUCUAAACAUUUGGGGGAUGGUAUUUUAAGGUACAUGGUAUUAACAACAUUGUUCAUCUGGAGAACUAUAUUUUGUUGAUACUCAGUGGGUAGCAAUUUGUGUCGAAAGUGUAACAAGGGGAAGUCAAAUAAAGAAAAAUGAGAAAACUUCCAAUCUCAUAUACUAUUGAAAGAAAUCUGUAGGCACAGAAGGUUACUCCUAACUGCCUGAAAUAAAUAGCAAAAACUAGGUCUGUUCUUAUUUGCUUUCCAAAGUAUCUUUAAAACUGGAAGAAGAUAAUCAUAGCUUCGCCUCUGCCACAACACAACAAAUGCCUCACAUCUAUGUUGGCAUUUAGCCAAAUCCAACAUCUCAAAAGAAUUUUGAUAACUGAAUGUAACAUUUAGAUCACUUUUAUUGAGAAUCAGUAGGAGCAAUGAAUACAGUCAGCCCUGCAUGUUCCCUGGAGUUAGGGGCACAGGGCCCCAGUGAAAGUAAAAACUGAAUAAAAGAAAUCACAAUUUUCUUACUGAAUGGACACCUUUCUAGGGAUUUUUAGGUCUUCCAGCAAGAGUCUAUGGCUGACUUCCACUGAAAGCUGGCCAUAUAAUUGCCUUUGAGGACCUAGAAAUUCCUAGAGGUGUUCUCUCAAGAAAUCUCAUAGUCCGCCAGCAUGACUGGAAGACUUGACUAUAGAGUCACACUCUAGGACCAAGAGAUUCCUAGAGAAAGCACUUUUAAUCUAAUCUGUGAAUAAAGAAAACUGCUAAAGUCAAAAUUGCUAUUGUGGAGGGACAACUGGGACACAGAGUAGUUUUGAAGAUGAAAUUUGUCAAAUUUGGCUCUGAAAAGGGGUAUAAUAUAUUGCUACAACAGACUGUGUGUUACAGUUAAAGCUCUCUAAAUUUCCCAGCCCCCCAUCACGAAUAGAGAAUGUUGUGUGUUAUAGAUCAUAAAGUAAUUUUUCCAAGUUCUGGUUCCAACAUAUGCUUCCACCAUUCCCAAAAUGCAUGCCUUUGACCUGUUAGACUGACAUUCACAUCCCAGCCUGCAGCUAUGUCUAUCACCAUGAAGGGUGCUUGUUUGGGAAACUAUUCAUCCAUCUUCCAAGCCUCAUCCUAAGAAAUGUGUAUCCAUGUGCAAAAUGAGAGUUUAAAAAAAUUGAAAGGGAGGAGAGAUGCUGAAGCAUAGGGGGUGGAUCCUAAUUGAUGUUCCCCAAGAUCAGUUUUCCAGCCAUCGCCAAUCAGCAUUCCACUGUAAGGUUGCAGUAAACUGCCUCUAGGGACUGUGUACAUACUGUUCUUGAAUCCUGUUCUGGGAGAAAAGAGGGGGGUAUAAAUCAAAUAAAAAAUAAACAAACAAACCUCACACAAAAUCUCACAAAAAUAGAUUCUGUAAGUAUAUGAGUUUGUGUCAGAAAGAGAUUGGCAAUACAUCUCACUCAUAAAACUUGUCGAAUUUCUAGAGUAUAACCUUAAUGUAAUGCAUUAGGAGACAGACUUCACCUACGUCACUGAAACUGGGACAUAUCAUGAAAUACGUCUAUUUAGGAUUGCAUUUUUAGUCCAGGUUUCAGAAAGACACUACUAUUCCUCAUUUUUGCUCUUGAUAGAUAAAAAAUAUAUGACAGAUCCAAUUAUGGGGCUGCAAAAUUCAAGCUAUAUAGAAGUAUAAAAAUAGAAAUAGAAGAUGGAAGGUUUAUAAAAAAAAUGCUUAAAUAUCAUUUAUGUCAGCCUUGCAUUGACAUCCCAGCAGCAUGAGACUGAGAAAUCUCAUUUUCAUCUUACAUUUGUGGAUAAAUCCUUGUUUUCACCCAUACUUCAAGGCAGAAUUAAGGACUGGUCUUCAAACUCCAUAAAACAGUAUCCUAAAUUACACAGCAAGAUCAAUGGCAUUUAUUAAUUAGACUCUUCCUUAAGAAAGUGUGAUCUUAAUGGCUGUUGCCAUGUGUAACAGAGCAAAAACUGAUAAUAUUGAUAUAAAGUAGGAAGGAUAAACUAUGAUAACUUUCAGGUUUCAAUACAGAUCCAAAUUAACUAAGCAGUAAAUGGAAAAACUUCACACAGCUACUGCUUAAAUCCAUUACAAAAGGAAAUGCUGUUAAUUCUUGGCUGUUGUGAGCCAUUUCUGUGCACAUGACAUACUUUUCUGACAAAGCUAUUUCAGUGGCACAAAAGAGGUCAUGUUAGUUAUUUCUGAAUUUGCUGUCUGACUGUGCUGCGUGCAUUUCCCCUCAGUAUCUCUGUUGACUUUAUUCUUUACAGUGUUCUUAGCCUCCUGGCAAAAGCUCUUGGUUUCCAUGGGUAACAGAUUACUUGCUCAGAUUUAACACAGAGAGAGAAACACAGAUCAUAUUUCUUCCCAAUUAGAUUCUCUGUGUGAUAUCAGAAUGUGUUCAUGCCACUGUGGCAUUAAGGCUGGGGAACCUUGUGAGUCACAUCAAUAAAGAACUGACCAGCUUUGACUUUCUUUCCAAAAAUAGAAGAUGACUGCAAGGAGACGAAGAUUGAAAGAAGAUGUGAUGUCAUUCUAAUGCACAAUGUUAAACUCUUCACAGAUGCAGAAAGAAGGGUGCGCUUUGGGCAAAACCAUGUGUAAGGACAGUGUCUCCAUAUUGCACUGCAGACUGUGAUAGAAAAAGGAUAACUUCAGUCACCAAGGCAGAAUGACAGCACAGCAUGAUUACAGCUAACUAUAGGGAAACCAAAUUUUGGGAUGAACACU
Long non-coding RNA from Anolis carolinensis (green anole), 5117 nucleotides. Lineage: Eukaryota; Metazoa; Chordata; Lepidosauria; Squamata; Anolidae. The record is from Ensembl.